This 492-nucleotide ribosomal RNA is filed under the name uncultured bacterium. RNAcentral's name for it is "partial 16S ribosomal RNA". It matches the Rfam family "Bacterial small subunit ribosomal RNA", at positions 29 to 507 of the family's 1533-position model. The record is from RNAcentral.
AGUGAACGCUGGCGGUAGGCCUAACACAUGCAAGUCGAACGGCAGCACAGUAAGAGCUUGCUCUUACGGGUGGCGAGUGGCGGACGGGUGAGGAAUACAUCGGAAUCUACUUUUUCGUGGGGGAUAACGUAGGGAAACUUACGCUAAUACCGCAUACGACCUACGGUUGAAAGCAGGGGAUCUUCGGACCUUGCGCGAUUGAAUGAGCCGAUGUCGGAUUAGCUAGUUGGCGGGGUAAAGGCCCACCAAGGCGACGAUCCGUAGCUGGUCUGAGAGGAUGAUCAGCCACACUGGAACUGAGACACGGUCCAGACUCCUACGGGAGGCAGCAGUGGGGAAUAUUGGACAAUGGGCGCAAGCCUGAUCCAGCCAUACCGCGUGGGUGAAGAAGGACUUCGGGUUGUAAAGCCCUUUUGUUGGGAAAGAAAAGCAGCAGGUUAAUACCCCGAUGUUCUGACGGUACCCAAAGAAUAAGCACCGGCUAACUUCGUG